This 444-nucleotide ribosomal RNA is filed under the name uncultured bacterium. Its description in RNAcentral is "partial 16S ribosomal RNA". It matches the Rfam family "Bacterial small subunit ribosomal RNA", at positions 354 to 796 of the family's 1533-position model. The record is from RNAcentral.
GUAGGGAAUAUUGGGCAAUGGUCGGAAGACUGACCCAGCCAUACCGCGUGCAGGAAGACGGCCCUCUGGGUUGUAAACUGCUUUUAUCUGGGAAGAAAAAGGCCAUGCGUGGCAAAUUGCCGGUACCAGAUGAAUAAGCACCGGCUAACUCCGUGCCAGCAGCCGCGGUAAUACGGAGGGUGCAAGCGUUGUCCGGAUUUAUUGGGCUUAAAGGGUGCGUAGGCGGCUGAUUAAGUCAGCGGUGAAAGACUCCGGCUUAACCGGAGCAGUGCCGUUGAUACUGGUUAGCUUGAGUGUUGGAGGGGUACAUGGAAUUGAUGGUGUAGCGGUGAAAUGCAUAGAUACCAUCAGGAACACCGAUAGCGAAGGCAUUGUACUGGCCAACAACUGACGCUGAUGCACGAAAGUGUGGGGAUCGAACAGGAUUAGAAACCCCGGUAGUCC